GGGGAUGUAAUGGUUUCGACGGGAGUCUUGAAAGUAGGGAUAGCCAUCCGCAGCCCGGUGAACUGCGUCAUCAAGCCGGAAACUUUUCUAAAAAGAAACGACAACAAUAAAUUAGCAUACGCUGCCUAAUUGCGGCAGCUGUCAACCCCCGGAUUCCUGCCGCCGGGGAGCUUGGCAUCGACUUGGCGGGGCACUUUUUCGCUUAAGCUUUGCGGCGGAAAAAGACUCAUGAAGCUACCGAGGAACAUAGCCUGUCAUUCGGCGAUGGUCUGAGGGAAUUCUAAAAGACUGACUGUGAUGGGAGAAGUUCUUACAGAUGGGUUUUCGGACAGGGGUUCGACUCCCCUCAUCUCCAUUC
RNAcentral lists this transfer-messenger RNA (358 nucleotides) under Clostridium sp. It matches the Rfam family "transfer-messenger RNA". Rfam says of the family: Bacterial tmRNA, also known as 10Sa RNA or SsrA, is named for its dual tRNA and mRNA-like properties. Its role is to liberate the mRNA from a stalled ribosome. RNAcentral also lists the same sequence under 2 other names. Lineage: Bacteria; Bacillati; Bacillota; Clostridia; Eubacteriales; Clostridiaceae. The record is from RNAcentral.